Molecule: ribosomal RNA, 663 nt
Filed under: uncultured bacterium
Lineage: Bacteria
Description: bacterial SSU rRNA
Rfam family: Bacterial small subunit ribosomal RNA
Source: RNAcentral
AGAGUUUGAUCAUGGCUCAGAACGAACGCUGGCGGCGUGCUUAACACAUGCAAGUCGAACGGGAUCCAGAGCUUGCUCUGGUGAGAGUGGCGCACGGGUGAGUAACGCGUGGAUAACCUGCCCUGGUAUCUGGAAUAACAUCUCGAAAGGGGUGCUAAUACCGGAUAAGCCUACGGAGCCUUCGGUCUCUGCAGGAAAAGGUGGCCUCUAUUUAUAAGCUACCGUAUCAGGAUGGGUCCGCGUACCAUUAGCUAGUUGGUAGGGUAAUGGCCUACCAAGGCUACGAUGGUUAGCUGGUCUGAGAGGAUGAUCAGCCACACUGGAACUGAGACACGGUCCAGACUCCUACGGGAGGCAGCAGUGGGGAAUUUUGCGCAAUGGGGGAAACCCUGACGCAGCAACGCCGCGUGAGUGAUGAAGGCUUUCGGGUCGUAAAGCUCUGUCAGAAGGGAAGAAAUGAGCUUGGCUAAUAUCCAAGUUUCUUGACGGUACCUUCAAAGGAAGCACCGGCUAACUCCGUGCCAGCAGCCGCGGUAAUACGGAGGGUGCAAGCGUUGUUCGGAUUUAUUGGGCGUAAAGCGCGUGUAGGCGGUUUCUUAAGUCUGAUGUGAAAGCCCUGGGCUCAACCCAGGAAGUGCAUUGGAUACUGGGAGACUUGAAUAC